UACGUAGGGUGCAAGCGUUUGUCCGGAAUUAUUGGGCGUAAAGAGCUCGUAGGCGGUUUGUCGCGUCUGCUGUGAAAACGCGAGGCUCAACCUCGCGCCUGCAGUGGGUACGGGCAGACUAGAGUGCGGUAGGGGAGAUUGGAAUUCCUGGUGUAGCGGUGGAAUGCGCAGAUAUCAGGAGGAACACCGAUGGCGAAGGCAGGUCUCUGGGCUGUAACUGACGCUGAGGAGCGAAAGCAUGGGGAGCGAACAGG
This 254-nucleotide ribosomal RNA is filed under the name uncultured bacterium. Its description in RNAcentral is "partial 16S ribosomal RNA". It matches the Rfam family "Bacterial small subunit ribosomal RNA", at positions 524 to 776 of the family's 1533-position model. The record is from RNAcentral.